Molecule: long non-coding RNA, 226 nt
Organism: Piliocolobus tephrosceles (Ugandan red Colobus)
Lineage: Eukaryota; Metazoa; Chordata; Mammalia; Primates; Cercopithecidae
Exons: 3
Source: RefSeq, a predicted model, not a curated record
CGAGAAACAAAAAACUGAAAGGGAGCUAGAGGUUCGAGUCCAGAGAUUGAAUAUAGAGAAGGGGAAACUAAGUACGGACCUGUAUCACAUGAAACGCUCUCUCAGAUACUUUGAAGAGGAGUCCAAGGAUCUGGCUGGCCGCCUGCAAUGUUCAUCGCAGCAUAGAGGAGAGUUAGAGCAGGUUCUGUCUGCUGUCACCGCCACACAGAAGAAGAAGGCAAAACGG